UACGGGGGGGGUAAGCGUUGUUCGGAAUUACUGGGCGUAAAGGGCUCGUAGGCGGCCAACUAAGUCAGACGUGAAAUCCCUCAGCUUAACUGGGGAACUGCGUCUGAUACUGGAUGGCUUGGAUUCGGGAGAGGAAUGCGGAAUUCCAGGUGUAGCGGUGAAAUGCGUAGAUAUCUGGAGGAACACCGGUGGCGAAGGCGGCAUUCUGGACCGAUAUUGACGCUGAGGAGCGAAAGCCAGGGAGCAAACGGG
RNAcentral lists this ribosomal RNA (252 nucleotides) under uncultured bacterium. RNAcentral describes it as "partial 16S ribosomal RNA". It matches the Rfam family "Bacterial small subunit ribosomal RNA", at positions 524 to 776 of the family's 1533-position model. The record is from RNAcentral.